This 265-nucleotide unclassified non-coding RNA is filed under the name Athalia rosae (coleseed sawfly). RNAcentral describes it as "misc RNA ENSAEAG00005009920.1". Lineage: Eukaryota; Metazoa; Arthropoda; Insecta; Hymenoptera; Athaliidae. The record is from RNAcentral.
GCCGACCGUACGCAUGUCGAGAUUCAAAUGGAAGUUUAACAACAAUCUCUUCGUGCUUAGACUCCAGGUAGCUGUGUCGAUUUGAUCACGACCGGGGUGGCAAUCGAAAAACUGGACAAUCAUUUUUUCGCCAUCAGAAAUAAGGUUUCAUCGUCGGUGUAACUCGAUUGGUCGCUUGAUUGCGUGUCAUCGAAUAGUUUCAUUUUCUUAAAUGUGAUACACAUUACAUCACACAUGCGAUGUAUCCAACGAUAAUAUAUAGGGC